GAUGAACGCUAGCGAUAGGCUUAACACAUGCAAGUCGAGGGGCAGCAUGGUCUUAGCUUGCUAAGGCUGAUGGCGACCGGCGCACGGGUGCGUAACGCGUAUGCAACUUGCCUCACAGAGGGGGAUAACCCGUCGAAAGACGGACUAAUACCGCGUACACUCUAUGUUGGGCAUCCAAUGUAGAGGAAAUGAAAUUCGCUGUGAGAUAGGCAUGCGUCCCAUUAGCUAGUUGGUGAGGUAACGGCUCACCAAGGCGACGAUGGGUAGGGGAACUGAGAGGUUGAACCCCCACACUGGUACUGAGACACGGACCAGACUCCUACGGGAGGCAGCAGUGAGGAAUAUUGGUCAAUGGGCGAGAGCCUGAACCAGCCAAGUCGCGUGAAGGAUGACUGUCUUAUGGACUGUAAACUUCUUUUAUACGGGAAUAACAAGAGUCACGUGUGGCUCCCUGCAUGUACCGUAUGAAUAAGCAUCGGCUAACUCCGUG
Molecule: ribosomal RNA, 490 nt
Filed under: uncultured bacterium
Lineage: Bacteria
Description: partial 16S ribosomal RNA
Rfam family: Bacterial small subunit ribosomal RNA
Source: RNAcentral